UGAGGAAUAUUGGUCAAUGGGCGGGAGCCUGAACCAGCCAAGCCGCGUGAAGGAAGAAGGCGCCAGGCGUCGUAAACUUCUUUUGUCGGGGAACAAAGGGCGCCACGCGUGGCGUUGUGAGUGUACCCGAAGAAAAAGCAUCGGCUAACUCCGUGCCAGCAGCCCGGUAAUAUCGUGCU
RNAcentral lists this ribosomal RNA (179 nucleotides) under uncultured bacterium. Its description in RNAcentral is "partial 16S ribosomal RNA". It matches the Rfam family "Bacterial small subunit ribosomal RNA", at positions 355 to 532 of the family's 1533-position model. The record is from RNAcentral.